This 497-nucleotide ribosomal RNA is filed under the name uncultured bacterium. RNAcentral's name for it is "partial 16S ribosomal RNA". It matches the Rfam family "Bacterial small subunit ribosomal RNA", at positions 28 to 507 of the family's 1533-position model. The record is from RNAcentral.
GAUGAACGCUGGCGGCGUGCCUAAUACAUGCAAGUCGAGCGAACGGACGAUAAGCUUGCUUCUCUUAUGUUAUCGUCUGACGGGUGAGUAACACGUGGAUAACCUACCUAUAAUACUGGUUUAUCUUCGGGAAACCUGAUCUACUACCGGAUAAUAUUUUGAACCGCAUUGUUCUUAAGUUUAAUUCGUUCUUUCUUUCUCUUAUAGAUUGUUCCGCUCUUCAUUAGCUAGUUGGUAAGGUAACGGCUUACCAAGGCAACGAUGCAUAGCCGACAUGAGAGGGUGAUCGGCGACACGGGAACUGAGACACGGUACAGACACCUACGGGAGGCAGCAGUAGGGAAUAGUACGCAAUGGGCGAAAGCAUGACGGAGCAAAGCCGCGUGAGGGAUGAAGGUCUACGGAUCGUAAAACUAUGUUAUUAGGGAAGAAAAUAUGUGGAAGUAAAUGUGCACAAAAUGACGGUAACGAAACAGAAAGCAACGGCUAACUACGUG